AGCUCAGUGGUAGAGUGCUUGCCUUGCAUGCAUGAGGCCCUGAGUUCAAUUCCUCAG
RNAcentral lists this transfer RNA (57 nucleotides) under Dipodomys ordii (Ord's kangaroo rat). It matches the Rfam family "tRNA", at positions 9 to 63 of the family's 71-position model. Rfam says of the family: Transfer RNA (tRNA) molecules are approximately 80 nucleotides in length. Their secondary structure includes four short double-helical elements and three loops (D, anti-codon, and T loops). The record is from Rfam by way of RNAcentral. Lineage: Eukaryota; Metazoa; Chordata; Mammalia; Rodentia; Heteromyidae.